This 773-nucleotide ribosomal RNA is filed under the name Carnobacterium maltaromaticum. RNAcentral describes it as "bacterial SSU rRNA". It matches the Rfam family "Bacterial small subunit ribosomal RNA", at positions 28 to 778 of the family's 1533-position model. The record is from RNAcentral. Lineage: Bacteria; Bacillati; Bacillota; Bacilli; Lactobacillales; Carnobacteriaceae.
GACGAACGCUGGCGGCGUGCCUAAUACAUGCAAGUCGAACGCACGAAGUUGAAGAGCUUGCUCUUUAACCAAGUGAGUGGCGGACGGGUGAGUAACACGUGGGUAACCUGCCCAUUAGAGGGGGAUAACAUUCGGAAACGGAUGCUAAUACCGCAUAGUUUCAGGRAUCGCAUGAUUCUUGAAGGAAAGGUGGCUUCGGCUACCACUAAUGGAUGGACCCGCGGCGUAUUAGCUAGUUGGUGAGGUAAUGGCUCACCAAGGCAAUGAUACGUAGCCGACCUGAGAGGGUGAUCGGCCACACUGGGACUGAGACACGGCCCAGACUCCUACGGGAGGCAGCAGUAGGGAAUCUUCCGCAAUGGACGAAAGUCUGACGGAGCAACGCCGCGUGAGUGAAGAAGGUUUUCGGAUCGUAAAACUCUGUUGUUAAAGAAGAACAAGGAUGAGAGUAACUGCUCAUCCCCUGACGGUAUUUAACCAGAAAGCCACGGCUAACUACGUGCCAGCAGCCGCGGUAAUACGUAGGUGGCAAGCGUUGUCCGGAUUUAUUGGGCGUAAAGCGAGCGCAGGCGGUUCUUUAAGUCUGAUGUGAAAGCCCCCGGCUCAACCGGGGAGGGUCAUUGGAAACUGGAGAACUUGAGUGCAGAAGAGGAGAGUGGAAUUCCACGUGUAGCGGUGAAAUGCGUAGAUAUGUGGAGGAACACCAGUGGCGAACGCGACUCUCUGGUCUGUAACUGACGCUGAGGCUCGAAAGCGUGGGGAGCAAACAGGAU